GUGGGGAAUAUUGGACAAUGGGCGAAAGCCUGAUCCAGCCAUGCCGCGUGUGUGAAGAAGGUCUUCGGAUUGUAAAGCACUUUAAGUUGGGAGGAAGGGCAGUAAGUUAAUACCUUGCUGUUUUGACGUUACCGACAGAAUAAGCACCGGCUAACUUCGUGCCAGCAGCCGCGGUAAUACGAAGGGUGCAAGCGUUAAUCGGAAUUACUGGGCGUAAAGGGCGCGUAGGUGGUUUUGUAAGUUGGAGGUGAAAUCCCCGGGCUCAACCUGGGAACUGCCACCAAAACUGCAUGACUAGAGUACGGUAGAGGGUAGUGGAAUUUCCUGUGUAGCGGUGAAAUGCGUAGAUAUAGGAAGGAACACCAGUGGCGAAGGCGACUACCUGGACUGAUACUGACACUGAGGUGCGAAAGCGUGGGGAGCAAACAGGAUUAGAAACCCUGGUAGUCC
RNAcentral lists this ribosomal RNA (450 nucleotides) under uncultured bacterium. RNAcentral's name for it is "partial 16S ribosomal RNA". It matches the Rfam family "Bacterial small subunit ribosomal RNA", at positions 354 to 796 of the family's 1533-position model. The record is from RNAcentral.